RNAcentral lists this ribosomal RNA (303 nucleotides) under Bacillidae sp. SB0515. RNAcentral describes it as "partial small subunit ribosomal RNA". Lineage: Eukaryota; Metazoa; Arthropoda; Insecta; Phasmatodea; Bacillidae. The record is from RNAcentral.
GGUAUUUUAGUCUAUUCAGAGGAAUUUGUCCCUUAAUCGAUAAUCCCCGUUUUAUCUUUCUUAUUUUAGUAAUCAGUUUGUAUACCGCCGUUAUAAGUUUAUAUUUUUAGAUUUAAUUGACUUUUAAUUUUAUUAUUUUUUAUUUCAGGUCAAGGUGCAGUUAAUAUUUAAGUGGAGAUGAAUUACAUUAUUUUUGAAUAUAUGGAUUUUAUUUUGAAAAUUUUUGAAUGAAAGUGGAUUUGAUAGUAAUUUUAACUAUAGUAUUAUUUUGAUUUUAGCUCUAAAAUAAGUACACAUCGCCCG